GAUGAACGCUGGCGGCGUGCCUAAUACAUGCAAGUCGAGCGAACAGACGAGGAGCUUGCUCCUCUGACGUUAGCGGCGGACGGGUGAGUAACACGUGGAUAACCUACCUAUAAGACUGGGAUAACUUCGGGAAACCGGAGCUAAUACCGGAUAAUAUAUUGAACCGCAUGGUUCAAUAGUGAAAGACGGUUUUGCUGUCACUUAUAGAUGGAUCCGCGCCGCAUUAGCUAGUUGGUAAGGUAACGGCUUACCAAGGCAACGAUGCGUAGCCGACCUGAGAGGGUGAGAGGCCACACUGGAACUGAGACACGGUCCAGACUCCUACGGAGGGCACGAGUGGGGAAUCUUCGAAAAGGGGAGAAAGCCGGAGCGAGCCACGCCGCGGGGGUGAAAAGGGUUUUCGGAUCGUAAAACUCUUUUAUUGGGAAAGAAAAUAUGUGUAAGAAACAACCCCUGUCCGGACGGUACCUAAAAAAAAAGCCCGGGCUAACUUCGGG
Molecule: ribosomal RNA, 497 nt
Filed under: uncultured bacterium
Lineage: Bacteria
Description: partial 16S ribosomal RNA
Rfam family: Bacterial small subunit ribosomal RNA
Source: RNAcentral